CGGGUGAGUAACACGUGAGCAACCUGCCCCGAAGUUUGGGAUAACACCGGGAAACCGGUGCUAAUACCAGAUGCCCUCAUCGAGUCACCUGGCUUGAUGAGGAAAGAUUUAUCGCUUCGGGAGGGGCUCGCGGCCUAUCAGCUUGUUGGUGGGGUAACGGCCCACCAAGGCUUCGACGGGUAGCUGGUCUGAGAGGACGACCAGCCACACUGGGACUGAGACACGGCCCAG
This 231-nucleotide ribosomal RNA is filed under the name uncultured bacterium. Its description in RNAcentral is "partial 16S ribosomal RNA". It matches the Rfam family "Bacterial small subunit ribosomal RNA", at positions 103 to 334 of the family's 1533-position model. The record is from RNAcentral.